This is a long non-coding RNA of Cavia porcellus (domestic guinea pig), 561 nucleotides long. RefSeq lists it as uncharacterized. The transcript has 2 exons. The record is from RefSeq and is a predicted model, not a curated record. Lineage: Eukaryota; Metazoa; Chordata; Mammalia; Rodentia; Caviidae.
CAGGACUGGGCGAGGCGCCUGCGCGGGGGCUUCUGGGAGCGGGAGUCUCGGUCGCAGGGCCGCGCGGUACGGAGCUCACCGGAGAACUACGAUUCCCACAGUGCACUGCGGCGCCCCCGGCGCGCUCCAUGCGCCCAGGCUGGGCUUCUGAGAGGAGUGUUUGUGGGGCCGCCUUGGGAGGGGUCGUGAUCAGGUUUGGCUCGGCAGACAGGCCAGUACCCAAGUCCACUGGGCCUCAUGGAGCGGAGAGAAUCGUGUCCUGUACCUGGAGCCCACAGCAGCCCGGGCGCAUCAGAUAGCCCUCUUCAUUCUACCGGGACGUCGCGAGGUUCUGGGACGGAUGGGUAGCAAGGCUGGUGUUUCUGUGGGCUAAAGGUCACGUCUCCUCCGAGAUGCCUGCUCCGUGGAGCUCCUGUCACCCUCUCCACUCCUUCCCUUCACACCUUGUGGUUUAGGAGGGGAUCCUAAGUUCCCAGCGCCAGUGCUGCACUCUCCUGUGGGUUCCCCACACCAGCCCACACCAUGUAAAUAGUUUGCGUAUAAACUUCCUCAGUUCUCCCA